GAUCUGGCUCAGGACGAACGCUGGCGGCGCGCCUAACACAUGCAAGUCGAACGAGAGAGAAGGAGCUUGCUUCUUCGAUCGAGUGGCGAACGGGUGAGUAACGCGUGAGGAACCUGCCUCAAAGAGGGGGACAACAGUUGGAAACGACUGCUAAUACCGCAUAAGCCCACGGGUCGGCAUCGACCUGAGGGAAAAGGAGCAAUCCGCUUUGAGAUGGCCUCGCGUCCGAUUAGCUAGUUGGUG
This 243-nucleotide ribosomal RNA is filed under the name uncultured bacterium. Its description in RNAcentral is "partial 16S ribosomal RNA". It matches the Rfam family "Bacterial small subunit ribosomal RNA", at positions 15 to 254 of the family's 1533-position model. The record is from RNAcentral.